GCCUGGGUGGCUCAGUGGUUGAGCAUCUGCCUUUAGCUCAGGUAGUGAUCCCAGGGUCUUGGGAUCGAGUCCCAUAUCAGGUU
This 83-nucleotide transfer RNA is filed under the name Canis lupus familiaris (dog). It matches the Rfam family "tRNA". Rfam says of the family: Transfer RNA (tRNA) molecules are approximately 80 nucleotides in length. Their secondary structure includes four short double-helical elements and three loops (D, anti-codon, and T loops). Further hydrogen bonds mediate the characteristic L-shaped molecular structure. tRNAs have two regions of fundamental functional importance: the anti-codon, which is responsible for specific mRNA codon recognition, and the 3' end, to which the tRNAs corresponding amino acid is attached (by aminoacyl-tRNA synthetases). tRNAs cope with the degeneracy of the genetic code in two manners: having more than one tRNA (with a specific anti-codon) for a particular amino acid; and 'wobble' base-pairing, i.e. permitting non-standard base-pairing at the 3rd anti-codon position. The record is from Rfam by way of RNAcentral. Lineage: Eukaryota; Metazoa; Chordata; Mammalia; Carnivora; Canidae. RNAcentral also lists the same sequence under 1 other name.